AAUUUUGGACAAUGGGGGAAACCCUGAUCUAGCCAUCCCGCGUGUAUGAUGAAGGCCUUCGGGUUGUAAAGUACUCUUGGCAGAGAAGAUAAGCUACCUCCGACUACGAGGUACCGCCGACGGUAUCCUAAGAAUAAGCACCGGCUAACUAAGUUCCAACAGCCGCGGUAAUACGUAGGGUGCAAGCGUUAAUCGGAAUUACUGGGCGUAAAACAUGUGUAGGCGGUACGGAAAGAAAGAUGUGAAAUCCCAGAGCUCAACCUUGGAACUGCAUUUUUAACUGCCGAGCUAGAGUAUGUCAGAGGGGGGUAGAAUUCCACGUGUAGCAGUGAAAUGCGUAGAUAUGUGGAGGAAUACCGAUUGCGAAGGCAGCCCCCCUGGGAUAAUACUGACGCUCAGACACGAAAGCGUGGGGAGCAAACAG
Molecule: ribosomal RNA, 424 nt
Filed under: uncultured bacterium
Lineage: Bacteria
Description: partial 16S ribosomal RNA
Rfam family: Bacterial small subunit ribosomal RNA
Source: RNAcentral